This is a long non-coding RNA of Danaus plexippus (monarch butterfly), 1574 nucleotides long. RefSeq lists it as uncharacterized. Lineage: Eukaryota; Metazoa; Arthropoda; Insecta; Lepidoptera; Nymphalidae. The record is from RefSeq and is a predicted model, not a curated record. The transcript has 4 exons.
UGUUGUUUAAGUAUUGUCAAAUAUACUGCGAAAAAUUGUAUUUAUUAAUAUUUUUGGCCAAAAACUUCAGUUUAUCGGAAUUUAUUAAACAAUGUUUAUAACUUUGAGCGAUCUCAAUAAUUAAUUUCACUAUGUGAUAUUCAAAACCUAUUAACUUUUUGUGUUGUGUUUUCUAACCUACAUGGUUUCGUUUAAAAUAUUAUUGUUGUGAUUGCUGUGUUGUAAUGAAAUAAUUGAAAUGAAAUUAUAUUAUCUCAUAGUUCUAGUGAUAAUCUUGAAUGUGAAUUAAGUGGGAGAAGCGGCUGGCAGUUAUUGGCGAGAAUAUGGAAUAUCGAUUUAUUCCGACGAAUCGAGGUAAACACCUGUUGAUGCUGAAAGGUUACACGUAUUCACAAAUAAAGUCCACCAAUAAUUAUUACUGCUCAAAGAGACGGACUGGAAACUGUAAGGCCAGAGUGAAAUUGAAUGAUGAAGGUGUAGUUAUUUGCGCUGAUUUAAAUCACACGCACACUAAACCGCACUAUGUUCAUCUACUGGGGAGUUGUGGAAGACAUGCCUAGCUACCAGUUCCUAGAGUCGGGGAGAGGAGGGCAACUGGUCAUGCUAGAUGGUUAUACAUAUUCACGACGUACUAAUUCUAGAAACUUCUAUUGUUCCAAAAAAGACCGAGGCUGUAAAGCCGCUGUCAAAAUAGACAAUGAUGGCGUGUUGACUGUCAAAGAAUCCUACCACCCUCACCCACGACCAAAGUACUUUUUGAAGAAGAAUGGAUUGCGCUGUUAAACAUACAUUUAUUCGAACCCUUAAAGCUUUAUUGCUGAUGGUGGAUGGGUAUACGUUCGCGAAACAUUCGCAGAGCGACCGUUAUUACUGUUCGAAAAAAAACUCCGGCUGCAAGGCAAGGGUAAAGAUGACCAAAAAUGCUAAUGCUAUAGUGGGCUGCGAUGAUAUCGUGCACACUCAUCCACCGCCUAAACUUAUGAAGACAGCUUCAGGGAUAUAUAUUAAAUUAUAGUUAUACAUAUUACACUAACAACAUAUUGUUUUUAAAUAUAACAAUACAAAUCCUCUGUACCAAGAAAAACAUAUAUAUAUAAUAAUAUUUUUUUAAAAUGAUUCGUCAUUGUGUAUGUUUCAAAAGCUUUUAAGAUUUAGAUAAAUUUAAAUAAGUAUAUGUGAAAAAUGCUGUGCUCAGCGAUAGUUCGAAAAACCUAAAUUUGCUUACGAAUGACGGUGAUUUGAAAAUUUAAGGUGAAAAAGGUAAACUGAUCAUUUAAAAACAAAUUGAAAAUCUAAAUAUACUCCAUGGUUAAACGGGAAAGGCGCUAAAAUUAGGCUGUAGGACAAAUGGGAUAUGGAUAGUCCGUUUGCCAAAUAUCUGUCAACCACAAAUACUUUGUGACAUCUGUCAUUUCUAUAAAACUACUUCGAAUAUGGAACAAAUGUCAAUGUCAACUUCAGUUUUGACAGAAAGAGUUCAUGGAAACGGAUUACAUAACUUGGAUAUUUAAAUAUAUAUAUAUUUCUUGUAAUAAUAAUAUUUUUUGCAUUAAAUAUACAUCAUUGCAGUACUA